This 494-nucleotide ribosomal RNA is filed under the name uncultured bacterium. RNAcentral describes it as "partial 16S ribosomal RNA". It matches the Rfam family "Bacterial small subunit ribosomal RNA", at positions 30 to 523 of the family's 1533-position model. The record is from RNAcentral.
AUUGAACGCUGGCGGAAUGCUUUACACAUGCAAGUCGAACGGUAGAGGGGCAACCCUUGAGAGUGGCGAACGGGUGAGUAAUGUAUCGGAACAUGCCCAGUCGUGGGGGAUAACGUAGCGAAAGUUACGCUAAUACCGCAUACGAUCUAUGGAUGAAAGCGGGGGAUCGCAAGACCUCGCGCGAUUGGAGUGGCCGAUAUCAGAUUAGGUAGUUGGUGGGGUAAAGGCCUACCAAGCCGACGAUCUGUAGCUGGUCUGAGAGGACGACCAGCCACACUGGGACUGAGACACGGCCCAGACUCCUACGGGAGGCAGCAGUGGGGAAUUUUGGACAAUGGGCGCAAGCCUGAUCCAGCCAUUCCGCGUGCAGGAAGAAGGCCUUCGGGUUGUAAACUGCUUUUGUACGGAACGAAACGCGCUGAGCUAAUACCUCGGCGUAAUGACGGUACCGUAAGAAUAAGCACCGGCUAACUACGUGCCAGCAGCCGCCGCUG